AGUGAACGCUGGCGGUAGGCCUAACACAUGCAAGUCGAACGGCAGCACAGUAAGAGCUUGCUCUUACGGGUGGCGAGUGGCGGACGGGUGAGGAAUACAUCGGAAUCUACUUUUUCGUGGGGGAUAACGUAGGGAAACUUACGCUAAUACCGCAUACGACCUACGGGUGAAAGCAGGGGAUCUUCGGACCUUGCGCGAUUGAAUGAGCCGAUGUCGGAUUAGCUAGUUGGCGGGGUAAAGGCCCACCAAGGCGACGAUCCGUAGCUGGUCUGAGAGGAUGAUCAGCCACACUGGAAUUGAGACACGGUCCAGACUCCUACGGGAGGCAGCAGUGGGGAAUAUUGGACAAUGGGCGCAAGCCUGAUCCAGCCAUACCGCGUGGGUGAAGAAGGCCUUCGGGUUGUAAAGCCCUUUUGUUGGGAAAGAAAAGCAGCAGGUUAAUACCCAGCUGCUCUGACGGUACCCAAAGAAUAAGCACCGGCUAACUUCGUG
Molecule: ribosomal RNA, 492 nt
Filed under: uncultured bacterium
Lineage: Bacteria
Description: partial 16S ribosomal RNA
Rfam family: Bacterial small subunit ribosomal RNA
Source: RNAcentral